RNAcentral lists this ribosomal RNA (423 nucleotides) under uncultured bacterium. RNAcentral describes it as "partial 16S ribosomal RNA". It matches the Rfam family "Bacterial small subunit ribosomal RNA", at positions 359 to 774 of the family's 1533-position model. The record is from RNAcentral.
GAAUAUUGGACAAUGGGCGAAAGCCUGACCCAGCCAUGCCGCGUGUGUGAAGACGGUCUUCGGAUUGGAAAGCCCUUUAUGUUGGGAGGAAGGGCGGUAAGCGAAUACCUUGCUGUCUUGCCGUUCCCGACAGAAUAAUCACCAGCUAACUCUGUGCCAGCAGCCUCGGCAAUACAGCGGGUGCAAGCGUUAAGCGGAAUUACGGGGCGUAAAGCGCGCGUGGGAGGUUCGUUAAGUUGGAUGUGAAAGCCCCGGGCUCAAACUGGGAACUGCAUCCAAAACUGGCGAGCUAGAGUAGGGCAGAGGGUGGUGGAAUUUCCUGUGUAGCGGUGAAAUGCGUAGAUAUAGGAAGGAACACCAGUGGCGAAGGCGACCACCUGGGCUCAUACUGACACUGAGGUGCGAAAGCGUGGGGAGCAAACA